AUUGAACGCUGGCGGCAGGCCUAACACAUGCAAGUCGAGCGGUAGAGAGGUGCUUGCAUCUCUUGAGAGCGGCGGACGGGUGAGUAAUGCCUAGGAAUCUGCCUAGUGGUGGGGGAUAACGUUCGGAAACGGACGCUAAUACCGCAUACGUCCUACGGGAGAAAGCGGGGAUCUUCGGACCUCGCGCCAUUAGAUGAGCCUAGGUCGGAUUAGCUAGUUGGUGAGGUAAUGGCUCACCAAGGCGACGAUCCGUAACUGGUCUGAGAGGAUGAUCAGUCACACUGGAACUGAGACACGGUCCAGACUCCUACGGGAGGCAGCAGUGGGGAAUAUUGGACAAUGGGCGAAGCCUGAUCCAGCCAUGCCGCGUGUGUGAAGAAGGUCUUCGGAUUGUAAAGCACUUUAAGUUGGGUAGGAAGGGUAGGUAACCUAAUACGUUGCUACUUUGACGUUACCGACAGAAUAAGCACCGGCUAACUUCGUGCCAGCAGCCG
RNAcentral lists this ribosomal RNA (494 nucleotides) under uncultured bacterium. Its description in RNAcentral is "bacterial SSU rRNA". It matches the Rfam family "Bacterial small subunit ribosomal RNA", at positions 30 to 517 of the family's 1533-position model. The record is from RNAcentral.